CAGGCCUAACACAUGCAAGUCGAGCGGACCAUUCCUUCGGGGAUGGUUAGCGGCGGACGGGUGAGUAACACGUAGGCAACCUGCCUGUAAGAUCGGGAUAACUACCGGAAACGGUAGCUAAGACCGGAUAGCUGGUUUCUCCGCAUGGGGGAAUCAUGAAACACGGGGCAACCUGUGGCUUACGGAUGGGCCUGCGGCGCAUUAGCUAGUUGGUGGGGUAACGGCCCACCAAGGCGACGAUGCGUAGCCGACCUGAGAGGGUGAUCGGCCACACUGGGACUGAGACACGGCCCAGACUCCUACGGGAGGCAGCAGUAGGGAAUCUUCCGCAAUGGGCGCAAGCCUGACGGAGCAACGCCGCGUGAGUGAUGAAGGUUUUCGGAUCGUAAAGCUCUGCUGCCAAGGAAGAACGCCUCGGAGAGUAACUGCUCUGAGGGUGACGGUACUUGAGAAGAAAGCCCCGGCUAACUACGUGCCAGCAGCCGCGGUAAUACGUAGGGGGCAAGCGUUGUCCGGAAUUAUUGGGCGUAAAGCGCGCGCAGGCGGUCUUUUAAGUUUGGUGUUUAAGCCCGGGGCUCAACCCCGGUUCGCACUGAAAACUGGGAGACUUGAGUGCAGGAGAGGAAAGCGGAAUUCCACGUGUAGCGGUGAAAUGCGUAGAGAUGUGGAGGAACACCAGUGGCGAAGGCGGCUUUCUGGACUGUAACUGACGCUGAGGCGCGAAAGCGUGGGGAGCAAACAGGAUUAGAU
RNAcentral lists this ribosomal RNA (750 nucleotides) under uncultured bacterium. Its description in RNAcentral is "bacterial SSU rRNA". It matches the Rfam family "Bacterial small subunit ribosomal RNA", at positions 43 to 783 of the family's 1533-position model. The record is from RNAcentral.